AUUAUUGUUAUUAUUAUUAUUAUGUGGACAUUUAAGUAGCUUGUACUUGCGCAUUUUCAAAACACUCUUGAAAUAAGAAGGGCAACAAUAACAAAGGGCAAUAAAUCCAUUAAAUAUCUGGAUUAACAGAAGGAUGCAAUAUCAAAAAGUAGGGCUAAUGAAAAAAAAAAGAAGAAGCUUGGUCCAAGUAUCUGUUGUGGGAGUGUGGAAGUAAGUUUUUAUUCUUUUUGAACAUUCUGUUUUUCAAAUCUUGCUGUUAUUUUAUGAAAUUUAAUGGUUGUUAAAUAUUAUAAUAAUUCAAAAUACUAGCCAGUUAGUCUUUUUCCUGUCCUAUGAAUAAAAAGAUUGUUUACAUCAACACUUGUGGUGCUUUGCCUUGUACAGUUGUAUGUACUAUGUAAUAGACAUGGAGAAAAGAAUAGACUAUGAUUGAUAUUUUGGCCAAAGCUUGCAUUUUAUGGUUUAUUAACCCUUUGUACGAUCCUCCCAUCUACUUCACCAGGCUGAUUAGCUCCCAGUUCUUUCUAAACUAGCUUCUUUAUUGUUUCUUUUAAUUUUUUUUUAAUCUGUUUUGGAAAUUUGAUUUAUUUGAUGUUACACAUUAAUUUCUAUUUGUCUGUAGAGCCGGAGAUUCUUUUGGUUGCUUGAUGUAUGGUUGGUUAUUCUCCCCUUGUAAUUUUUUUUCUUUUUUUUAAAUAGAUUUUUCUUUUGGUGGGGAGGGGUUUGAUAGGUGGGUGGAACUUUUCUGCUUUGUAUUACUGGUUGACUUAUUCCUUUUCUUUCAUUUAUUAUAAUAGAUUCAAUGUCUCAACCUUAAUAUCUUCGAUAACUGGUCAUUUAAUUGUUACAGGGUGAAGUGGAUUGUCCAUUCUACUUGAAAACCGG
RNAcentral lists this unclassified non-coding RNA (885 nucleotides) under Hevea brasiliensis (rubber tree). Lineage: Eukaryota; Viridiplantae; Streptophyta; Magnoliopsida; Malpighiales; Euphorbiaceae. The record is from RNAcentral.